GAAUUCCCAGCUCCUUUUUAAUAAACUCUUUUGCUCUCUCGGGGGAGAAGGCUGGUACUCUGUCCUGCAACUUAGCAAGCUCAUCUACAAAUUCUCGAGGAAAUAGAUCAGAUCUAGUAGAGGAUAACUGCCCAAGUUUGAUAAAUGUUGGGCCAAGCUGCAGCACACAUUCUCUUAACCAUGAAGCUGUUCCACGUCUUCUCACUUUCUGUUUAUCUUCAGUAAAGCCACCCACAUAUGUCCAUUUCGCAUUGUCCAAGAAAACACGCACCCGCAGCGAAAGGACAAAGGACCACACAUCUAUACUUCUUUGGAUGGAAUUAUAGUUCUCAUUAGCCCAGCUGAAACCUUCAUCUGAAGGUAAAACCUUUAGAUCUUCAGCAGGCAGAAGUUCUUUAGAUUUUUGUUUCUUUGCAGGAAGUGGAGUAGCAACACGCUUAGCUAGAUUUGUUCCAUUGAUUCUCUGUGUGGAACCAUUAACAACCGUGGAACCAUUAGCAGAUGGUGCAAUUCUCUUUGUCACUUCACUUGUAGGUACCAUUUUAACUGGACGACCAUUUAUACCUACUUUU
RNAcentral lists this unclassified non-coding RNA (572 nucleotides) under Hevea brasiliensis (rubber tree). Lineage: Eukaryota; Viridiplantae; Streptophyta; Magnoliopsida; Malpighiales; Euphorbiaceae. The record is from RNAcentral.